CCAAAUUUGAUAUUCAAAUACUAUCUGUUACCAUCCAAUCAGGUUGGAAGUGGAAACAAACAGAUUUUAUCACACCUAUGCAGGUAAGGGUUGUUACAGCUCUUAUCCAAUCAUUUCAAAUAGGAGGAUCGAAGCACAUAGCUCCUCUAUACGAUCCACUCAAUGGAACAAGAGGUUAGUGCUUAACAUAUGAUCUAUUUUUCUCUUACUUGUUUACCGAUCAUGUAUAUAUAUCGAUGUUGUUGAUUGAUUUGCAUUAAAUUUUUGUUAAAGGAUAUGGUAGGUCACUUUCUUGUAGCAGCAUAUGAAAUGAAAGGAGAUUCUGGUUGCAGUCCUAAUUAUUUCUAUGAUCUGUUUUCCACCUUCGUGGCUGAAUCUAAAAUCACCU
This 388-nucleotide long non-coding RNA is filed under the name Carica papaya (papaya). RNAcentral describes it as "long non-coding RNA (CPAP_LNC015633)". Lineage: Eukaryota; Viridiplantae; Streptophyta; Magnoliopsida; Brassicales; Caricaceae. The record is from RNAcentral.